GACGAACGCUGGCGGCGUGCCUAAUACAUGCAAGUAGAACGCACAGUUUAUACCGUGGUUUGCUACACCAUUUACUGUGAGUUGCGUACGGGUGAGUAAACCUUCGUUAAACUGGCUGGUAGCGGGGGAUAACUAUUGGAAAUACUAGCUAAUACCACAUAAUAUUAAUUAUUGCCUUAUAAUUAGUUAAUAGGUCCCUUUGCACUGCUACUAGAUGGUCCUGCGUUGUAUUAGCUAGUAGGGGAGGUAACGGCUCACCUAGGUGACGAUACAUAGCCGACAUGAGAGGGUGAUCGGCCACACUGGGACUGAGACACGGCCCAGACUCCUACGGGAGGCAGCAGUAGGGAAUCUUCGGCAAUGGACGAAAGUCUGACCGAGCAACGCCGCGUGAGUGAAGAAGGUUUUCGGAUCGUAAAGCUCUGUUGUAAGAGAAGAACGGGUGUGAGAGUGGAAAGUUCACACUGUGACGGUAUCUUACCAGAAAGGGACGGCUAACUACGUG
Molecule: ribosomal RNA, 505 nt
Filed under: uncultured bacterium
Lineage: Bacteria
Description: partial 16S ribosomal RNA
Rfam family: Bacterial small subunit ribosomal RNA
Source: RNAcentral